GUAAAAUUUCAUUACACCUCGUGAUACGGCCAAUUGAGUAUAAGUUAAGAGAAGGGAGAUUGAGGCAGUUUGUUCGUGUGAAAAAUAGACAUAUGAAGGCUAGAGUGGACAAGCGGAGCACGUUGAGCUAGAGAAUAGAAAGAAAAGAAGGUAGUAGAGUAGCAUUACACAUCGUUUAGAGUGGACAUGCCACGGUGGUUUUCCAAACCAGGCAAUAUCGCAAGUGAGAGUUAAGCAUGCCUUGACAUCAUAGUCAGGCAAGGGAACACAACAGUUCUAGCAUCGAGUAAUGGGCAUAUGCAAAAUUUUUUGUCG
RNAcentral lists this unclassified non-coding RNA (315 nucleotides) under Hevea brasiliensis (rubber tree). Lineage: Eukaryota; Viridiplantae; Streptophyta; Magnoliopsida; Malpighiales; Euphorbiaceae. The record is from RNAcentral.